UAGGGAAUCUUCGGCAAUGGACGAAAGUCUGACCGAGCAACGCCGCGUGAGUGAAGAAGGUUUUCGGAUCGUAAAACUCUGUUGUUAGAGAAGAACAAGGACGUUAGUAACUGAACGUCCCCUGACGGUAUCUAACCAGAAAGCCACGGCUAACUACGUGCCAGCAGACGCGGUAAUACGUAGGUGGCAAGCGUUGUCCGGAUUUAUUGGGCGUAAAGCGAGCGCAGGCGGUUUCUUAAGUCUGAUGUGAAAGCCCCCGGCUCAACCGGGGAGGGUCAUUGGAAACUGCGAGACUUGAGUGCAGAAGAGGAGAGUGGAAUUCCAUGUGUAGCGGUGAAAUGCGUAGAUAUAUGGAGGAACACCAGUGGCGAAGGCGGCUCUCUGGUCUGUAACUGACGCUGAGGCUCGAAAGCGUGGGGAGCAAACAGG
RNAcentral lists this ribosomal RNA (429 nucleotides) under Gemmatimonadota bacterium. Its description in RNAcentral is "Gemmatimonadetes bacterium partial 16S ribosomal RNA". It matches the Rfam family "Bacterial small subunit ribosomal RNA", at positions 355 to 776 of the family's 1533-position model. The record is from RNAcentral. Lineage: Bacteria; Pseudomonadati; Gemmatimonadota.